GACGAACGCUGGCGGCGUGCUUAACACAUGCAAGUCGAACGAAGUGGCGAACGGGUGAGUAACGCGUAAUCAACCUGCCCUUCAGAGGGGGACAACAGUUGGAAACGACUGCUAAUACCGCAUACGGAAGGAGUGGAUUGCGACGGAUUAGCUAGUUGGGGGGGUAACGGCCCACCAAGGCGAUGAUCAGUAAGCUGGUCGGGGAGGUGAAUGGCCCCAAUUGGAAGUGGAACCGGGCCAGACUCCCACGGGAGGCAACAGUUGGGAAACUUCCGAAAUUGACGAAAGUCCGGCGGAGCAACGCCGCGUGAGUGAUGACGGCCUUCGGGUUUUAAAGCUCUGUUAAUCGGGACGCGGUACCGGAAGAGAAAGCCACGGCUAACUACGUGCCAGCAGCCGCGGUAAUAC
RNAcentral lists this ribosomal RNA (408 nucleotides) under uncultured bacterium. RNAcentral's name for it is "partial 16S ribosomal RNA". It matches the Rfam family "Bacterial small subunit ribosomal RNA", at positions 28 to 526 of the family's 1533-position model. The record is from RNAcentral.